AGGGUUUUAGGACCGUUGGUGAGGAGCGCUCUGCCUUCGGGAGGCAGGGGCUGGAGGUUCAAAUCCUCUCACCCCGACCA
This 80-nucleotide transfer RNA is filed under the name Alphaproteobacteria bacterium. Its description in RNAcentral is "tRNA-Pro". RNAcentral also lists the same sequence under 1 other name. The record is from RNAcentral. Lineage: Bacteria; Pseudomonadati; Pseudomonadota; Alphaproteobacteria.